This 372-nucleotide ribosomal RNA is filed under the name uncultured organism. Its description in RNAcentral is "bacterial SSU rRNA". It matches the Rfam family "Bacterial small subunit ribosomal RNA", at positions 526 to 896 of the family's 1533-position model. The record is from RNAcentral.
CGUAGGUGGCAAGCGUUGUCCGGAAUUAUUGGGCGUAAAGCGCGCGCAGGCGGUCCUUUAAGUCUGAUGUGAAAGCCCACGGCUCAACCGUGGAGGGUCAUUGGAAACUGGGGGACUUGAGUACAGAAGAGAAGAGUGGAAUUCCGCGUGUAGCGGUGAAAUGCGUAGAGAUGUGGAGGAACACCAGUGGCGAAGGCGACUCUUUGGUCUGUAACUGACGCUGAGGCGCGAAAGCGUGGGGAGCAAACAGGAUUAGAUACCCUGGUAGUCCACGCCGUAAACGAUGAGUGCUAAGUGUUAGAGGGUUUCCGCCCUUUAGUGCUGCAGCAAACGCAUUAAGCACUCCGCCUGGGGAGUACGGCCGCAAGGCUG